UUUACAUUCUGAGGCUGUCUGAUUCUGAAUGCUGGUUGGGGUGGUCCAAUUAGCUAUGAAGAGCCGUUAUUACUAGUAUUUAUUAGCUAGCUAAUAUUUAAUAUUCUAUACAUUUAAGCUAUGGCUGUUGACGGCUUCUGGUGCUAUAUUUUUGUCGUGUCGAUAUUGUCGGCCCCUUCAUUUUGGUCGUGUCUACUGGUUUCUGGUGAAAAGGUAGGCUUGAUGGAGGUUUUUCUGAGGGAUCGACAGGGCGUUAGCAGUGUUCUACAGGGCGAAGUAAUUGAGGGAAGUUGGGGUAGCAAAACACACGAUGGCCCUGGUAAUCGAGACCAUGAUCCCGUCGAAGGGAGUCUUCGAUUGGUACAGGAUGACGAACUUGACCUCAAGGUGAAACCCGAGGAUGAGGAGCCCUGGAUUGGAGUGGUUCCAGUUAAGAUGAAAGAGAGCGAGGUUUCCAGUAGCAACCAGGAGUCGUUCGCAGCUGCGGUUGUUAGCAAGAUGAAGCGGGCCCUGGUGCUGGGUGCCUCGGCCCUUAUUAUCCUGGCCCUGAAUCAGAACACAGUCAGAGAGAUGGAUCUCUCCCAGGUGCUCUCCAAACCAAUUAUCGUGUUUCAGUCGUCAGAAAAUGUCACCAAGCUCAUUGGAGUACUCCUCAGGGGCCUGCAUGCAACAGCAAAAAUCACAUACAAGACCAUCCUACAGGAUAAUCUGGGGGCCACCCUGACCCUGUGGUCCAGCUGUGGACGGUCGAGGGGGGGUCUCUACGGGGAGUGGCAGGGGGUCAUCUGCACUGGAGAGACUAACUCCCAGGUUCAGAAGUACCUCCAGCAGCUGUGGAACACAGUGCUCCUGGUGGCCCUCAUCCUUUGCACUGGGGUCAUAGUUCAAGCACGCUGGCAGUAUCGGGACCACCAGCUCAACGAUGACAUGGAGUUACUUCCAAAGCAGGACAUCCUGAAGCAGCUGGCUGCCCUGAAGACCAGGAAGUAUCACUCGCCCCAGACGUGCUGCGACCUGGGACAAGCAGGGGAGGCGGACUGUGCCGUCUGCCUGGAGCAGUUCUUCAAUAACCAGGUAGGCUCAGUAACCUUCUCCCAUACAGCCAACCCUCCCCACCACUCCUGCGCCUGGGAGGACCUCAGACUGCCACUCAGUGGGCCUCACGCAAGAACCACGUGUACGGACAGGUUUCUUCUUAAAAUCGCUCAAAUCUUUUGAAAUUAGGUGAUUUAAGAGAACUUAAGGUGCAUUCACCAAUUUACUUAAGUUGAAUCUUUUUGCUUUGUAGGAACAACAUUUGUAUGACAGGUCGAGUGGUCCUGACCGGUCAUACAAAGUCAUGCAAACACAAGAGCCUUGCAGAGUAGGAAGUGUCACUCACCCAAGGUCCCGGGCUGUGACCUGGGACAAGCAGGGGAGGCGGACAGCUCAGGCAGUAAGAGCAGUCGUCUGGCAGUCGGAGGGUUGCCGGUUCGAUCCCCCGCCUGGGCUGUGUCGAGGUGUCCCUGAGCAAGACACCUAACCCCCAAAAUGCUCCUGAUGAGCUGGUCGGGGCCUUGCAUGGCAGCCAGUCGCCGUCGGUGUGCGAGUGUGUGUAUGAAUGGGUGAAUGGAGAAGCAUCAGUUGUACAGCACUUUGGAUAAAGGCGCUAUAUAAAUGCCUGCCAUUUACCAUUUACAGCUGUGCAGUUUGCAUGGAGCAGUUACUGUUAAUCCCAUUGGCCGUCAGAACCCACCUUCAGUACCAUAUUCUGUAUUAUAACGACAUCUUCAUUUAGGACAGUUGUUAGGAAGUUAGGUGCACAAGGUGAUACAAAUAUAUGAGCCCUCCAUACGAAAAAAAAAAGUAAGAGAAAUGCAUGAUAAGAUUAUGAAAAUGCUCUUGCAUGAGGCCCAAUGCUGGUAAUCUCUUUUUGUAAAAUUUCAAGAGUCAUGUAUUAGUUUUCCAUUGCACUCUAACUUAGUCGGUGGGUGGAAUCAAACUUUUAAACAAAUAAAACAUAAAAAAUGGGCUUUACACGGUCGACGUUUUCUUAUUUAAUGAUCGUAUUAGCGGUUGUUAACCGGCAUUUUAAAGGCAGAAACGCUUUAAAGAUGCAGACGGAACCGUGACAUGUCUGAACUCUUGUGCGACUCGCCGUGAUUUGACUGAGCCCGCGAUGGCCGUUUGAGCGUGCCGGUCUGCGCGUGCGUCUGUCUCCCCGCAGUGUCUGCGGGUGCUGCCCUGCCUGCACGAGUUCCACAGAGACUGCGUGGACCCCUGGCUGCUCCUCCAGCAGACGUGCCCGCUAUGCAAGCGCAGCAUCCUGGCUAACUUCUGCAAAGACAGCUAAUGGCAGCUCCUGGAACCCUGACUUGAAGAAAACUGGGAUCAAGACUCAUACUCGUUCUCUUGUGAAGUUUUACAAUGGCGGUUCAGACCUCAGUUAUCUCUGUACUGUAGGGAGAGGGUCUGGGAAUGGUAACAGGUCCUCUUCAGGGUUGGCGAAUGUCCGGUGGGGGGG
Molecule: RNA transcript, 2503 nt
Organism: Conger conger (European conger)
Lineage: Eukaryota; Metazoa; Chordata; Actinopteri; Anguilliformes; Congridae
Gene: rnf215
Gene name: ring finger protein 215
Exons: 9
Source: RefSeq, a predicted model, not a curated record